GGGGCUUAGGCUGACUCCUGAGCCAUAUUGCAGAACACGUCUAGAGCAGAUCAACUCCUCUACAUCUGAGCCUGAUGCCAAGUAUAGUGAAAGGCACAGAGGCUCGGCCUUCUUCCCACUCUUUGUAUCCUAGAGCACACUCAGCACCUCAGGGGAGGCACACACAGCUUGAACUUUGGUAUCCCCAGUCCUGAUAUCUCUCCUACUUUAUCAAAAGAACCUCCUCCCACUCCUACAGUCAAGGAAAGCAAAGAGAAGAUCCAACAUCCCACUUCCCCAGCCAGCCUGGGACAGUUAACCUGGCCUACAACCAGCCAGCACUGGCUCCUAACCGUGGCCUCCACCGGAUCACAGCUUCCUCUGAGCUCUGGGUUCUUAAAGGGAAAAUAAAGCGCAGGAGCUAAACCGGGCGGUGGUAGCUCACACCUCUAAUUCCAGCACUCAGGUGGCAGAGGCAGGCGGAGCUCUGUGCGUUCGAGGCUAACCUGGUCCACUGACUGAGUUCAAGACAGCCAGGGCCACACAGAGAAACCCUUGUCUCAAGAAACAAAAAACAAGGGCUGGAGAGAUGGCUCAGCGGUUAAGAGCACCGACUGCUCUUCCUGAGGUCCUGAGUUCAAAUCCCAGCAACCACAUGGUGGUUCACAGCCAUCUGUAAUGAGAUCUGAUGCCCUCUCCUGGUGUCUGAAGACAGACAGUGUACCCAUAUACAAUAAAUAAAAUCUUUAAAAAAAAUUUUUUUUAAAAAGAAACAAAAAACAAGGGGUUGGGUAUUUAGCUCAGUGGUAGAGCGCUUGCCUAGCAAGCGCAAGGCCCUGGAUUCGGUCCCCAGCACC
Rattus norvegicus (Norway rat) is the source of this 836-nucleotide non-coding RNA. NCBI's taxonomy places the organism in Eukaryota, Metazoa, Chordata, Mammalia, Rodentia, Muridae. The record is from RefSeq and is a predicted model, not a curated record.